GAUGAACGCUGGCGGCAGGCCUAACACAUGCAAGUCGAACGAACCCUUCGGGGUUAGUGGCGGACGGGUGAGUAACACGUGGGAACGUGCCUUUAGGUUCGGAAUAACUCAGGGAAACUUGUGCUAAUACCGAAUGUGCCCUUCGGGGGAAAGAUUUAUCGCCUUUAGAGCGGCCCGCGUCCGAUUAGCUAGUUGGUGAGGUCAUGGCUCACAAAGGCUACGAUCAGUAGCUGGUCUGAGCGGAUGACCAGCCACAUUGGGACUGAGACACGGACCAAACUCCUACGGGAGGCAGCAGUGGGGAAUCUUGCGCAAUGGGCGAAAGCCUGACGCAGCCAUGCCGCGUGGAUGAUGAAGGUCUUAGGAUUGUAAAAUCCUUUCACCGGUGAAGAUAAUGACUGUAGCCGGAGAAGAAGCCCCGGCUAACUUCGUGCCAGCCGCCGCGGUAA
RNAcentral lists this ribosomal RNA (449 nucleotides) under uncultured bacterium. Its description in RNAcentral is "partial 16S ribosomal RNA". It matches the Rfam family "Bacterial small subunit ribosomal RNA", at positions 28 to 523 of the family's 1533-position model. The record is from RNAcentral.